AUUGAACGCUGGCGGCAUGCCUUACACAUGCAAGUCGAACGGCAGCACGGGAGCAAUCCUGGUGGCGAGUGGCGAACGGGUGAGUAAAGUAUCGGAACGUGCCCAGUCGUGGGGGAUAACGUAGCGAAAGUUACGCUAAUACCGCAUACGAUCUAUGGAUGAAAGCGGGGGAUCGCAAGACCUCGCGCGAUUGGAGCGGCCGAUAUCAGAUUAGGUAGUUGGUGGGGUAAAGGCUCACCAAGCCGACGAUCUGUAGCUGGUCUGAGAGGACGACCAGCCAAACUGGGACUGAGAAACGGCCCAGACUCCUACGGGAGGCAGCAGUGGGGAAUUUUGGACAAUGGGCGAAAGCCUGAUCCAGCCAUGCCGCGUGCAGGAUGAAGGCCUUCGGGUUGUAAACUGCUUUUGUACGGAACGAAAAGGUUUGGGCUAAUAAGCUGAGCUCAUGACGGUACCGUAAGAAUAAGCACCGGCUAACUACGUGCCAGCCGCCGCAGUAA
Molecule: ribosomal RNA, 500 nt
Filed under: uncultured bacterium
Lineage: Bacteria
Description: partial 16S ribosomal RNA
Rfam family: Bacterial small subunit ribosomal RNA
Source: RNAcentral